AGUGGCGGACGGGUGAGUAAUGUCUGGGAAACUGCCCGAUGGAGGGGGAGUAACUACUGGAAACGGUAGCUAAUACCGCAUAACGUCGCAAGACCAAANAGGGGGACCUUCGGGCCUCUUGCCAUCGGAUGUGCCCAGAUGGGAUUAGCUAGUAGGUGGGGUAAAGGCUCACCUAGGCGACGAUCCCUAGCUGGUCUGAGAGGAUGACCAGCCACACUGGAACUGAGACACGGUCCAGACUCCUACGGGAGGCAGCAUG
Molecule: ribosomal RNA, 259 nt
Filed under: uncultured bacterium
Lineage: Bacteria
Description: partial 16S ribosomal RNA
Rfam family: Bacterial small subunit ribosomal RNA
Source: RNAcentral